RNAcentral lists this long non-coding RNA (1586 nucleotides) under Strongylocentrotus purpuratus (purple sea urchin). RNAcentral describes it as "uncharacterized LOC115927534". Lineage: Eukaryota; Metazoa; Echinodermata; Echinoidea; Camarodonta; Strongylocentrotidae. The record is from RNAcentral.
GGGCAUUUCCACGGUAAUAGGGUACUUCUGUGUGUGAAAGAAUAAAGCGCUUACAGAAAAAUUAAAUAAAUAUCCUGUGGCUUUCUGUGUUUUUAUUUUCAUUGUUGAUGGUAUAAAGAAAUAAAAAAGACAAUUCCAUGCACUAAUAAUGUCAUUUGGUUGUGUUGUCCUCUUUUCUUUAAUGAUUAUUAUUAAAAAUUCCAAAGUACAAUCAGUAAAUGUUGAGUGGUGUGAUUUUGAGGGUGAUGCAAAUAAAAAUUCUAAAAAGAAAUUGAUGUUUCAUGUUUUGAAAAGAGAUUUUGAUGCGGGUGGAUUACGGCAUUGAUCAUAGUUACGGCGAUUGAGCUUUAAAGAGGGAGAGUGAGAGAGUUGAAAAUUACAUUGGCUGAAUGAGAGAUUCUGUCCACCUGUGUUACGUACGUUCAGAGUGAAUUUUCCCACAAUUAUUAGUUGUGUCACCCAACAGUUUUAUGUGCUUUGCAACUCUUUUGAUGAAGGUUGAAAUGUAGACCAAGAAAAAAAUCGUCAAAAUAAACGCAAAUAGAGAUAAAAUCUAUUCAAAAUUUGGAGUGCAAUAUUCGGUCCAACUCACGAACGUACGUAACAACUAAAAAACCGGACCGUGGCGUCCGCGAAUAUGACGCAUGGAUAAUCCACGUAUCAGUCAAGUGAACCAAGGCACUGCAACGUUUGAUUGUACUUGCAAUCCAUGCGCUGACUUCUACAAUCGCGGGGCCGUGUACAGCUCUAUAACUUCUGUCCAGUUUGUGCGUACGUUCACGGUUGCUGGUAGUUAGAACGACACGUACGCACGUAUGACAGAACAUGUUUUCUGUCCUAUUUACGUACGUGUCGGACGUGAGCAGCAGACGACAUCCGAUCGUAAUUAGAUUAGGCUUUGAAAAUCGUGGAAUGGUGAAAGAUGUUGUGGGAGAAGAUCUUGUCAUCAAGUACAUGGCCGAGUCGGAGUCUCAUCCGGGGCUAUUUAUAUGGCCAGCACGUGAGGAUGUGUCUCGGGAAUGUAGAAAACAGAUAGUGAAGAAAAUGCCUAACCCUGUCCUUCGGGAAGACAUCAGCAGCACUAGAUUACAAUUUUUCACCUUUGCAGAACUCUCCCCAGAAUCAUGACUUGUUCCAUACAAUUUAUGAAUGUCUUAUUACUCAUAGAUUGGUUAAUAAUGAAUCGAGUCAUUCCAACUUCUUCAGAGAACUUGUGUAAAGUCCAGCACACCCGAUAUCGUCCCAAACCAUCGGUUUUAAAAUCCUUACAAUAUUCUCUGACUCUCGUGUAAGAGGAAAACCUAGAACUGCGUGUAUUGAUGUUAAAAAGGAGACAUGAUUAAAUGGCUGGAUCGUGCUAAUUUAUUGUUCUCACGUUGUACUUCAGUAAGGUUUUAAUCACCUCAAUAGACUUGUGUGUUAUGAAAACAAAUAAAAUUCAUGGAAAAUUGGCACAAAGACACAAUUAUUUACUGAAAAUAUUUAAUGAAUGCUCAAUUGAAUUGAUGCAUUAUAAUAUGCAAAAUAACCCAUUGAGUAUGCAGUGUCAAAUCUUUUUUGAAUUUCAGAUCUGAAUUACAUCAAAA